Molecule: ribosomal RNA, 379 nt
Filed under: Eurotiomycetes sp. 2072 RO-2014
Lineage: Eukaryota; Fungi; Ascomycota; Eurotiomycetes
Description: LSU rRNA
Rfam family: Eukaryotic large subunit ribosomal RNA
Source: RNAcentral
CCGAGUUGUAAUUUGUAGAGGAUGUUUCGGACAAGGCUUCGGUUUAAAUUCCUUGGAACAGGAUGUCAUAGAGGGUGAGAGUCCCGUCUUGAACCGUCUGCUGCGUCUAUGUGAAACUCCUUCGACGAGUCGAGUUGUUUGGGAAUGCAGCUCAAAAUGGGAGGUAAAUUUCUUCUAAAGCUAAAUAUUGGCCAGAGACCGAUAGCGCACAAGUAGAGUGAUCGAAAGAUGAAAAGCACUUUGAAAAGAGAGUUAAACAGUAUGUGAAAUUGUUGAAAGGGAAGCGGUUGCAACCAGACUUGUGUGUAACAGUUCAACCUUGGUUUUCCAAGGCCUAUUCUGUUAUACCAGGCCAGCAUCGGUUCGGGUGGUUAGUUAA